Molecule: ribosomal RNA, 253 nt
Filed under: uncultured bacterium
Lineage: Bacteria
Description: partial 16S ribosomal RNA
Rfam family: Bacterial small subunit ribosomal RNA
Source: RNAcentral
UACGUAGGUGGCAAGCGUUGUCCGGAUUUACUGGGCGUAAAGGGCGUGCAGGCGGUCUGUUAAGUCUAGGGUGAAAGCUCCCGGCUCAACUGGGAGAGGUCCUUGGAUACUGGCGGACUUGAGGGAGACAGAGGAGAGUGGAAUUCCCGGUGUAGUGGUGAUAUGCGUAGAUAUCGGGAGGAACACCAGUGGCGAAGGCGGCUCUCUGGGUCUUACCUGACGCAGAGACGCGAAAGCGUGGGGAGCAAACAGG